UAGUGGCGCUGGUGUUUAGACCCGACAGAUCGGUAUCCUGUGCCAAUCUUAUCUAUUCCCUUGACUGUGACCCUUAAUUCGUGUUCCAAAGGAGGAGAAUGAAAGUAUGGACCAGUCAGCUUCAUCGCUGCGCAUAUGUAAGGUGGAAUGCUGCUUGGAGGAUGAUGCAGUGGGUCAGACACAACCACAUCAGGACAGGAUGACACAACGGAAUGUGACCAGCUGAUCUGCUGCCAUCACUUCAGAGCCAACAAUAACUUUCUUCAUUUGUAUGGACCGAGACCACACCAUGCUUCACAGACCCGAGGCCACAACCCUUCGAAUUACAUCCUGGACCUACUUGCUGCUACGUGAACAAAGGCUACAUAUUAAGAGGAAACAAAAUAUCGAAGUAAACAUGAGAAAGUUGAAAAAGAACUAAGCAUACAAUCACACCAGUGUUGCCAAUUCAGAUUUUUAAAACCUGCAAGCCAUAUCCAAAAUCCCUCUCAGUUCCAGCAGAAACAUGCCAGAUAUAUUCUAAACUGUUGAGUAUAUAUAUAUCAGCCUCUCCCCCUAAUCUUUCCUCCAAGGGGAGGAUGGUAUACCAAUAAGAGGAAAAAUUACACAGUAAAUUAUUCUUUUCUGAUAAAGAAGAAAGACAGUGCCAAACCAGAAAUGUUUGCUCAAUAUACUAGGACUUAAAAUAUUGUGCCUUACCUAAGCUCAACAUAGGUGCAUGAAUGUUAACAUUUUGAUGACUUGAAAUACAUAGACUCUUCUAGGGAUGAGAAAGAUAAGAAAGAGGUCAAUUAUAGGUUAUGUAUUAAAACUCUUAGUUACCCCCCAAAAAAAACUGAAUACCAAACAGUGACACACUGCAUGAGAAAUGUGUAUGAAGAAAUAGUCUUAUUACACGUAUAUAAUGUCUACCUGUCAUCAAGCAAAGAAUAAAAUUACGUAUGGAAAUACAGUAAACCCCCGAUUAUCCGAAAGGAAAUAAAUAAAAUAAAUAAAUAAAAAUAAAAAUAAAAAACUACUGUUACAAAAUGCACCCCCACCCCCCGUUGGGGCAUGCACAGUUAUCUCCCAACAUGUUCCUGAUUGACCUGCCUUCAGCUUGUCCAAUAUCUCCAGCUUCUGUAAGAUUGCUUAUUCUAUGAAGGUUACCGAGUGCUUAAUCAAGAAUGGAACGCUGCAAAUGCAUUAAUUUUUCAGAUACUUUCUGUUACAUCUGUGGAGCUUUUACACCUGAAACCUUGAAAAAAUCUAUCACAAAAAAUGUUAAAAAGGCAUACAAACUAUACUUUAAAUGCCCUGUUGGUGAUCAAGACAAGAAAUGGGCACCUCACAUUGCAUGUAAACCCUGUGUGAAUCAUUUGAAUGAAUGGAUGCAUGGUAAAAGGCCUUUUGCUGUACCAAUCAAUGGUUUGGCGUGAACAAAAAGAUCAUUCUUCUGACUGCUACUUCUGCCUCACUAAUACCAAAGGUUAUUCUGUGAAAACUCAAUUUAAGAUUAAGUAUCCAGAUGUGCCAUCUGCUCACAGACCAGUUCCUCAUAGUCCUGAGUUACCAGUUCCCAAACCUCCAUUAGGUAGCCAAAGUGAGUGAGUGGUGAAUGCAUGGAUACUGACUUUCAAGAUGUAGAGAGAAAGGAACCCCAUCUUAUUAGUCAAGAAGAGUUGCAUGACCUUGUAAGACAAGAGUGAACUACUAGGAUCCAGACUCAAGCAAUGGAAUUUGCUGUAAGGAGGAGUUCACACUACCACUUUCCGCCAAAGGCAUGAGAAGCUCUCUCAGUAUUUCAAAAUGGAUGACAAACUUUGUUACUGCUAUGAUGUUGUGUCACUAAUGGAACAUCUUUGUAAGUCUCAUGCUUAUGAAAAAGAUGAGUGGAGGUUAUUUAUUGAUUCUGGAAAGGAUACAUUGAAGGCAGUUCUUCUCCACAAUGGUAAUGAAUUACCUUCUGUUCCAAUUGCUCACGCACAUGGAAUGAGUGAAAGUUAUGAAACUAUGAAGACACUGUUGUCUGCAGUUGACUGUAAGAUCCAUCAAUGGAACAUCUGUGGAGACCUAAAGGUGAUCUCUUUGCUUCUUGGAUUGCAACAAGGCUACACAAAGCACAUGUGUUUCCUUUGUCUAUGGGAUAGCAGAUCAGACACUAAACAUUAUAUAAAGGGAAUGGCCAGAGACCAAAAGACUUAGUUGGGAAGUUUAACUGUCUUAACAAAAGUCUUGUUGACCCUGAAGAGGUGUUUUUAUCACCACUUCACUUGAAACUCGGAUUAAUGAAGAACUUUGUGAAAGCCAUGGAUCAAGAUGGUGAUGGUUUUCAUUAUUUGGUGACAAAGUUCAAAGGUAUUUUAUCUGAUGCUAAAGUAAAGGCAGGUGUUUUUAAUGGUCCCCAAAUUCGUCUUAUACUGAAUGACCAAGACUUUAGAAAUGCACUAUCAGAGUUAGAAAUGGCUGCUUGGGAUAGCUUUGUGGUUUUUACAAAGUCUUUUUUAGGAAAUUUUAGAGCUCCAAAUUAUGAAGAGCUUGUUGACGAACUGCUGAAGUUACCAAGAGUUUGGUGCUCGAAUGUCACUUAAGAUACAUUUCUUUCUUUCUCACCUGGAUUUCUUUCCAAAGAACCUGGGUGAAGUCAGCGAUGAGCAUGGAGAAAGAUUCCACCAGGAAAUUGCCAUCAUGGAAACUUGAUAUCAAGGUCAAUUCAAUCCGAAUAUGAUGGGUGACUAUUGUUGGACUUUACAGCGAGAAAGUGAUAGUUCCUCGUAAAGUUGAGAAAGUGAUAGUUCCUCAUACAAACGCAAAAGUCAAGUUCAAAAACACUUUUGAUAUGUAUUGUAUCAUUAAUUAUGGUUUGUUUGUGUCUAUUUUCAUAUCUUCAGUUUAUUAAAAUAAAAAUAUUAUUGGCCUAUAUGUAUACUUCUACCAAAAAGUAGGCUUAUGCUGUACUGGAACAAUGGUAGGUGACAGAGUUUUG
Molecule: long non-coding RNA, 2965 nt
Organism: Portunus trituberculatus (swimming crab)
Lineage: Eukaryota; Metazoa; Arthropoda; Malacostraca; Decapoda; Portunidae
Exons: 4
Source: RefSeq, a predicted model, not a curated record